This 73-nucleotide transfer RNA is filed under the name bacterium. Its description in RNAcentral is "tRNA-Lys". It matches the Rfam family "tRNA". Rfam says of the family: Transfer RNA (tRNA) molecules are approximately 80 nucleotides in length. Their secondary structure includes four short double-helical elements and three loops (D, anti-codon, and T loops). The record is from RNAcentral.
GCGCUGUUAGCUCAAUCGGUAGAGCAGAUCCCUCUUAAGGAUAAGGUUACAGGUUCGAUUCCUGUACAGCGCA